UGGAUGAAGGUAGCCCUGAGAGUCACAGAUACUACCUCUCACGGAGAACUGUGCUUGAGAUGUUGAGAGACAGAGGCUAUUCUGUUCCAAGCUCAGAAAUCGACUUGUCUCUGCAAGAAUUUCGAGUCAUUCAUGGCCAGAACCCAGAUAUUGAUCGCCUCAAAUUUUCCGCUACUCACAAGUCAGAUCCCUCUAAAAGGAUACUGGUUAUUUUCUGUGGGACUGGUGUGCUUAAAGUUAGUUCUGUCCGCCUCAUUGCUGCUCAGAUUGUUAAUAGAGACAGUUUAACUGGUCUGAUUUUAAUCUUGCAAAACCAAAUAACAAACCAAGCUCUGAAAGCUGUGGAUCUUUUUUCUUUUAAGGUUGAGAUGUUCCAGAUUACAGACUUGCUUGUCAAUAUUACAAAGCAUUUAUUAAAACCAAAGCAUGAGGUUCUGACUGAUCGGGAAAAGGAAAAGCUCUUGAAAAAAUACAGUAUUGAAGAAAAGCAGCUUCCUCGACUGUUAAAGAAAGAUGCAAUUGCGCACUAUUAUGGACUUGAGAAGGGACAGGUGGUAAAAGUCACUCAUACUGGUGACAUUACUGAGUCGCAUGUUACUUAUCGAUGUGUCUGGUAAUUGCCUUUGUGCUGUGUUUGUAUCAUCCUUUCGAUGUUGUAGAAUUUAUUGUAUUCUUGUUUCUUGUCAUUUUGAAUGGCUCGAACUGGUUUUAGCAUUCCUAGUUCCAAUCCUGUACCUGACAAUGUCCGUAAAUAAACUUUGAAGAGUAGAUGGGAAGUGUGAAUGUAAUGUUUGUUGACAUGUUUGAAU
Molecule: unclassified non-coding RNA, 809 nt
Filed under: Hevea brasiliensis (rubber tree)
Lineage: Eukaryota; Viridiplantae; Streptophyta; Magnoliopsida; Malpighiales; Euphorbiaceae
Source: RNAcentral